UGGGGAAUCUUGCGCAAUGGGCGAAAGCCUGACGCAGCAACGCCGCGUGCGGGAUGAAGGCCUUCGGGUUGUAAACCGCUUUCAGCAGGGACGAAAUUGACGGUACCUGCAGAAGAAGCCCCGGCCAACUACGUGCCAGCAGCCGCGGUAAUACGUAGGGGGCGAGCGUUGUCCGGAUUUAUUGGGCGUAAAGAGCUCGUAGGCGGUUGGGUAAGUCGGGUGUGAAAACUCAGGGCUCAACUCUGAGACGCCACUCGAUACUGCCCUGACUCGAGUCCGGUAGGGGAGCGUGGAAUUCCCGGUGUAGCGGUGAAAUGCGCAGAUAUCGGGAGGAACACCAGUGGCGAAGGCGGCGCUCUGGGCCGGAACUGACGCUGAGGAGCGAAAGCGUGGGUAGCAAACAG
Molecule: ribosomal RNA, 404 nt
Filed under: uncultured bacterium
Lineage: Bacteria
Description: bacterial SSU rRNA
Rfam family: Bacterial small subunit ribosomal RNA
Source: RNAcentral